AGGACGAACGCUGGCGGCGUGCCUAACACAUGCAAGUCGAACGCGCUCCAUUCGGUAGCAAUACUGAUGAAGAGCGAGUGGCGAACGGGUGAGUAGCACGUGAGCAACCUGCCCCGAAGACUGGGACAACACCGGGAAACCGGUGCUAAUACCGGAUAUCCCUAUCGGACCGCAUGAUCUGAUAAGGAAAUGGAUUCCGCUUCGGGAGGGGCUCGCGGCCUAUCAGCUAGUUGGUGGGGUAACGGCCCACCAAGGCAUCGACGGGUAGCUGGUCUGAGAGGACGAUCAGCCACACUGGGACUGAGACACGGCCCAGACUCCUACGGGAGGCAGCAGUGGGGAAUCUUGCGCAAUGGGCGAAAGCCUGACGCAGCAACGCCGCGUGGAGGACGAAGGCUUUCUGAGUUGUAAACUCCUUUCAGCAGGGACGAUAGUGACGGUACCUGCAGAAGAAGCACCGGCCAACUACGUGCCAGCAGCCGCGGUAA
Molecule: ribosomal RNA, 488 nt
Filed under: uncultured bacterium
Lineage: Bacteria
Description: SSU rRNA
Rfam family: Bacterial small subunit ribosomal RNA
Source: RNAcentral